CCUACGGGAGGCAGCAGUAGGGAAUAUUGCUCAAUGGGGGAAACCCUGAAGCAGCAACGCCGCGUGGAGGAUGAAGGUUUUAGGAUUGUAAACUCCUUUUGUUAGAGAAGAUUAUGACGGUAUCUAACAAUUAACACCCGUCUAACUCGGUUCCAGCGCCCCCGGUAAUCCGGAGGUUCAAAGCGUUACCCGGAAUAACUGGCGGUAAGGAGGGCGUAGGGGGGGUAAUAAGUCAGAUGUGAAAUCCUGUAGCUUAACUACAGAACUGCAUUUGAAACUGUUACUCUGGAGUGUGGGAGAGGUAGGUGGAAUUCUUGGUGUAGGGGUAAAAUCCGUAGAGAUCAAGAGGAAUACUCAUUGCGAAGGCGACCUGCUGGAACAUUACUGACGCUGAUGCACGAAAGCGUGGGGAGCAAACAGGAUUAGAUACCCUUGUAGUC
RNAcentral lists this ribosomal RNA (440 nucleotides) under uncultured bacterium. RNAcentral's name for it is "partial 16S ribosomal RNA". It matches the Rfam family "Bacterial small subunit ribosomal RNA", at positions 338 to 795 of the family's 1533-position model. The record is from RNAcentral.